Molecule: transfer RNA, 72 nt
Filed under: Candidatus Parepulonipiscium sp. PG-Nele67M_MBin01
Lineage: Bacteria; Bacillati; Bacillota; Clostridia; Lachnospirales; Lachnospiraceae
Also listed under: 1 other name
Description: Epulopiscium sp. Nele67-Bin001 tRNA-Gln
Rfam family: tRNA
About the family: Transfer RNA (tRNA) molecules are approximately 80 nucleotides in length.
Source: RNAcentral
AGGGUUAUCGCCAAGCGGUAAGGCACAGGAUUUUGAUUCCUGCAUGCGAAGGUUCGAAUCCUUCUAGCCCUG